CCCUCCCUCCAUAGGGAGCGACCUCCUCUCCAGCCCUAAAGAGGGAGAAACACAAGCAGGGCACGUCGCCUGUUUUUAGCCGUGGGAAUACAACAAAACCCGACGGUGCUUAGGUGGCUGUAUCUUAGCGUAAACAGCUCCGUAAGCAUCUGUUGAAACCGUGGCGUUAGUUUGGAAAACAUGCGGUUGCGGCGGCGGCUCAAGCGGGAUCAUGAGGGACUGGAAGCUGGGAUUCGCCCAUUAGACUGCUAGGAGAGGGUUCAUUAGCCUGUUAGCUUAACGGAUAAACGCAGCUAGCUAGCGAAGGAGCGGCGGACGCUAAACUUCGGAGCUAGCGAGGAGAAUUUCAAAGUCUACCUCAGCCCUCGUCGUUCCCUCCCCCCCUCACCUUGCAGAGUGGGAUUUAUUUAUCUUUACUCAGAUACCUUAUCUUCAGCUGAUGGUUGAACACGCCAAACUAUAUUUUGCAACUGUUUCGUGUGCUGCUUGUCCAGUAGCUAACAGUAUUGAUCAGAGCAGCUUGUUAAUCACUCGGGGUCGGCUUUGUGCUUCCAGGCCAUGGACUGAACAGCCUUCUUCAACCAAAAGGUAGCUGGCUUGCUGGCCGGGUUUAAAUAGCAAGUCCAGUUUAUACAUCCCUGACCUUUUGCUUUUGGACUGGGAUAAGGGAAAAAUAUAUAACGUUCUGCUGGAUCGAGUACUUUUGGGAUCAUGCUCUGGAUGCUCGACUCUGUCCCGUAUUGGAUGUGAAGGAAAACCGAGCGGAUUCUUCUUUUUUUCUACUUUCUCGAGCUAGAUAAGCUGUAAAAAAUUUUUUUUUUUAAAAAAUCCUAUAUAUUUAUAUAAUGUCUACUGCGAAAGAAAACCCUUGUAGAAAAUUCCAGGCGAAUAUUUUCAACAAAAGCAAAUGUCAGAAUUGCUUCAAGCCGCGUGAGCUGCAUCUGCUGACCGACCCAGACCUCAACCAGGCUAAACCGAUCUAUGGAGGCUGGCUGUGCUUGGCUCCAGAGGGAACGGAUUUUGACAAUCCGAUGCACAGGUCUCGGAAAUGGCAGCGGCGCUUUUUCGUCCUCUACGAACACGGCUGCUUGCGCUUCGCUCUGGAUGAAUCGCCAAGCACAUUACCACAAGGCACUGUCAACAUGAACCUGUGCACAGAUGUGAUAGAUGCUGAGCCUAAGACCGGCCAGAAGAACGCGCUGUGCAUCAUCACACCUGAACAGGAGUAUUACAUUCGGGGGGACAGCAAGGAAAUUAUCAAUGGGUGGAGCGAGCAGCUAGUUGUUUAUCCAAGGACUAACAAGCAAAAUCAGAAGAAGAAGCGUAAGGUGGAGCCAACGACGUCUCAGGAGCCUGGUCCAGCCAAGGUAGCUGUGACUGGCUCGGGGAUCCCUGAGGCGGAGAAGGUUCCAGACUCCAGCUCCAUCAUAUGGCAGGAGGAGCUGCAGAGCAGAGAAGCAGAAGUGUCACAAGCAUGGUCCUCAACAGACAUGACACCCCAGGGCUCACUGCUGACGCCUGCAGCAGAGGAAGCAUCUGUGAGCCGCAGUUCUGUGGACCUGGGCUCUGUUAACGGAGAUGAAGUGGACCGCUGUGCAUUCUCCUUUCCCCCGUGUCUUUCCCAGCCCCCGCAGGACCUGGUUUCGCCGACAGCAGGCAUGCUGGGCGGUGUUCCACGUUGUCCUUCGCCUGCACACAGUGAACCCUUCCCCUCAGGCAGCAGUCUGUUGUCUAAUGGCUCGCACAUCAGUGGCUCCAUCAGCUCACUGGACUCGGACGCCAGCACAGACAGCCACGUGCCACUCCGAGGACGCAGCAAGCCUGAGAAACGCAGAGAGAGACAAGACAGAGAGGCUGUACUCAGCCCAGAAAGGAGUGGCCGCUCGAACGUGAUCGAGAAGCUUGAGGCGCUGGAGCUGGAGAACGCGGAGAGGAUGGAGGUCGAGGAGACUGUGCGAGGCGAGACCAGACAGGGCCGCAGUGAAAUGAGGCGCUUCAACAGACAGGAGCAGAAGCUUGACUCAGGACAGGGUCUGGACUUCCACCACUCCACUCUCCCUCCACUGAGAAGAGCCAAGUCACUGGACCGCAGGACAACAGAGUCAGUCAUGACGCCAGACCUGCUGAAUUUCAAGAAAGGCUGGAUGGUGAAACUCGAUGAGCAAGGCCAGUGGAAGAAGUAUUGGUUUGUACUGACGGACCACAGCCUGCGGUAUUAUAAGGAUUCGAUUGCUGAGGAGGCAUCAGAUCUAGACGGCGAAAUUGACCUCAGCACAUGCUAUAAUGUUACAGAGUACCAAGCUCAGCGCAACUAUGGCUUCCAGAUUCAUACCCAGGAGGGACUGCACACCCUCUCAGCCAUGACAGCAGGAAUACGCCGCAAUUGGAUCCAAGCUGUCAUGAAAAAUGUUCGACCUUCCACAGCGCCCGAUGUUGCAAGCUCGACGGAUGAACAUGGAUCCUUUGGCCCCUUGGAGAAUCUUACACGGCCCGACAUCACUCAAGACUCUCCAUCCUCCGAGGCCUCGUCUGUGGAGCGUGAGCCCAGGAAGAGUCGGGCACGAGAGCGGCGACGCGAAGGACGAUCCAAAACAUUCGACUGGGCCGAGUUCAGGCCCAUCGCCCAGGCCCUGGCUCAGCAGAGAGCCCAUGAAGCUGACGCGCUGCAGGCUCAGCUUGGCGACAGUGAACGCAGCAAGAGGAGGGAGGAGAGACGGAGGAGGUAUGAAUGUGUGACGGGCAGCUUGUCCUUUGAGCCGUGUCCGCCUGACACCAGCAGGGUGGACCCAGAGAAUGCGCACACGAAUGUGGGUAGCGUCUGUCCGCCCUCGCCAGAGCGUCAGCAGAAAGUGGAAGAUGAGAUCGAGCGGCGCUGGCAGCAGGUGGAGAAAACUCCAAUCAGAGAUGAGAGGAGAGUACCGCUGUCCACGCCACUGAGGAACAGAGAGACAACUGACCUUGAAAAACUACUAGAGAGCUACAAAAAGGGGGUAGAAGAUCUGAAAGCACAGUUAGAGACGUGCCACCAGCAGCUGGCGGAUUCUAACCAGCACAAGCAGGAGCUUGAGAACCAACUCAAAGCUGCUCUGGACCGAGAGAAUCAGAUCCGCGCUGGCUACAUCUCACCGCUGGAGUCACCUUUGAGUCUUGAGACAAAGCCCCAGAUGAAGAAGCCAGAACUGGUUAGUUCUCAAGCUCAGAGCUUAACAAAGAAGUACCAAGAAACCAAAGAGCUUCUCCAGCUGCAAGAACUGAAAAAGCGCAACAUGCAGGCACAGCUUGGCCUUUCACUUUCACACUUAUGCACCAAGGAACCUUACCUUUCUGACACCACAAAAUCAUCCACCUCCGAGAGCCUUUCUUCUAGUCUUGUAACAAAAUCUGUCACCUUUGUACUUCAGGAUAAUGAGGGCAAGAUCAGAGAGCUUGAGGACCUGAUAGAUUGUAGUAAACCGUUUUCGGUUAAGGAGUUGAUAAAACUGCUGCAGUGUCACACUGAUUCUGUACUUUUCCCUCAAGAUGCCAAUGAACACGAUAGAUCGAGCGACAUAACGAAGUGUCAGAAACUUUUGGAAAGUCUUAAAACUCACCAGGAAAUGGAGAACGAGACCAUGAGGAAGAGUCUGGCCAAGGCCGGGGACAGCAUUCGGGAUUACGAGGCUCGACUGAUCACAAUGGAGGACAUGUUAGGAAGGGUCCAGAAAACUCCCUGUAUAUCGCCAUGUCAACAGGACGACUCGGCACAAAUGAUGAACCGCGGUCUAUCUCAAAGGGUCGAACUGCUAACAAGUGAAAACGAAGCACUAAACCAGCAGUAUCAGGAAAUAGUCAACCAGCUGAGAGAGGCAGACCGAGAAAUAGACAGACUGAAAGCAGAGCUUCACAGACUUCAAAAUGGGCAACAGUGUCAGGAAAGCAGAGGAAAUCAGGAUGUGAUUGAGCCAGGAGACAAAGAAACUGUUAAGACUUUGUAUGAGCAGGAACUCCUUGACAAGUCUCAGAAGCUUGAAGAGGCACUAAUCAAGUUGGAGGUACUUGGGAAUAGUUUGAAAGACACAGAAAAGAAGCUGCAGCUCAAAGAGGCUACUCUGAAAGGUCUCGGAUUUCAGGUGCCCGAAAAUGAAAAUGGCGACGAAUCACCCGAAUCUGAGAAAGACCACCUCAGACAUCAUAUAGAGAUAAUCGAGUCCAAGCUUUCCGAAAAGGAAAAGUUGCUUCAGUCUGUUGAACACAUGUGCAGAGAGCUUGAAGCACAGAACAAGGAACUCCAGACGAGAAAGCAAAAAGCUGAACAGACCUUUAAACAAGCCCUUUCAGAGGCUAAAGAGGACAUUAGAAUGUUGAAAGAGAGAGCUGUGGAGGAGGUACAGUCUGAUAACGAAUGCAGAGUCGACAGUAAGUGCCGAGAGUUGAUGCAGAGUGAUGAAGGUGUGAUGGAGGAAGUGUUUGAAGGUUUCAAGAGAAGGUCUAGUGCUCUUAAUCAAGUGUUAGCCAUGUUGAUGAAGUCCAGUGAGGACAAGUUUGAUGGAUCGAGCGUUGACUUUGAGGAAGGUAAGGUGGGAAGGAAUUUGACAGGGAGGAUGAUGGCAUUGUUUGAGAGAGAGAUUUUGGGUAGAGUUUUAAGUGGCGUUGAGAAAAGUCAAGUAGGUAACGGAGACGGUGAGCAAGCAUCCGUCGUCAAAAAUACAGCAGAACGAAUGCUAGUGGAAAAUAAAAUCCUGUUUUCUGUGAUCAAAACCAUUGAGAGCUCUGUAAACACUGAACACACAGAGAUGCAGAUUGAUAAAGAUGUAGUCGGAGAUGAGAAGAUUAAGGAUGUGAUUAUUAAAAAGCUUGUUGAAACCUUACAAAGUAGAGUAGCCUUGUUGAAUCGGAUAGCUUCAGCCGUUAAUGAGCCUGCGAAUGAACAGUUCAAGUCUUUGGUUUUAACGCUCUCUAGCUGUGGGCCUCAAACACAGUGGUCUCAGUGUGUUCAAGAUGCGUUAUUGGAUGUGACUCGCACAUAUAUUCUAAUACGGCAAAGACACUCAGACGUUGAAGAAGCCACAGCUGAUUGUGCUAGUUGUUCUCAGUUAAAAGAACAAAACCUGGAGCUUAAAUUAAAGCUCGACCAACUGUCCACCCAAACAUCAAGCCCUCAAAUCCCUGUCGCUGAUGACUCCAAGCCAGUGACGCACAUCCACUUAGAGGGUGAACCCAUCGAUUCACUGGACAAGGCUAUUCAGCUACAAGACAUGGUGGCAAAACACAAGAAGGAGCUUCGGGAAGUGAGGGAGGAGUACGAGCGAGAAGUGACCAAGCUGAAGGAGGAAGUUGCCAAGAGCGAGGAAACGCUACGGCUGAGAUCCGAAGAGAACGUAAAAGAGAUCGAUUCUCUGACUGUCUGCAUGGAGAAUCUACAGAAGAAGCAUGAGGUGGAGCGUAACAUGUUGGUGGAGCAUUUCAACCAGGAAUUGGCUGAGCUUAAUGAUGUGAUAGGGUCUCUUGGAGCAGAUGUUCCAGAUGAUGGGCAGCUAAACGCAGCUUCCCUCAAACAGCGCAUCCAGCUAGUGGUGCAAGUGACAGAAGAGACCAAGCGGCGAGAUCGCGAGGAGGACGCAACAUUACUGCGUCUCAAAUACGAGAAAGACCUGGAAAACCUAAAGGCUACAUGUGAGAGAGGCUUUGCUGCCAUGGAGGAGUCGCAUCAGAAGGUCAUAGAUGAGCUGCAGAGGAAACACCAGCGGGAACUGGAGAACCUGCAGGAGGAGAAGGAGAGACUGUUGGCUGAGGAGACAGCAGCCACCAUUGCUGCUAUUGAAGCUAUGAAGAAUGCACAUCGGACUGAGCUGGAGAAAGAAUUGGACAAAGCAAGGAAAGCCCAUAGUAACACUGAAAACGCAGACAUUGAGGAAAUUCGCAGACAACACGAGGAGGAGCUGCUGUCAUGUCAGAGGGAAAUCGAAGUGCUGUCUGAGCAGUAUUCGCAGAAAUGUCUGGAAAACGCUCACCUCGCACAGGCACUGGAGGCUGAGAGGCAGGCCCUGCGUCAGUGCCAGAGAGAGAACCAGGAGCUUAAUGCGCACAACCAGGAGCUGAAUAAUCGUCUGGCUGCUGAGAUAACAAAAAUGAGAUCAAUGACCAGCGAGGAAGCCGAAUCUGGAACGGUCAUUCAGGGAAAAGAGCUAUACGAACUAGAGGUCAUGCUGAGGGUGAAGGAAUCCGAAGUGCAGUAUCUGAAGCAGGAGAUCAACUCAUUAAAAGAUGAACUACAAGCCGCCCAAAGAGAUAAAAAGUAUGCAACCGAUAAGUACAAGGACAUCUACACGGAGCUGAGCAUUGUGAAGGCCAAGGCCGAGCGAGAUCUGGGGCGGCUACGGGAGCAGUUACAGUUAGCCCAUGAGGCAUUGGGAGAACCCACGCCAGAGGAGGUGCAGCGAGGAGGAUAUGAUAUCAUGAAAUCAAAGAGCAAUCCAGACAUACUGAAGAUGGCUGCCGCGGCUGCAAAACGCUCUGAGCGUACCUUGAGGUCAAAGGUACAGACGUUGAAAUAGAAAUGUUGCCAGGGUAGAAAUCUUUCUUGCUUCGUUGUAGAAUUCCCCCCAUGACAAGUGCAGAUACUUCUAAAGUAGUACUGAGUAAUACAUUUCCCAUCAUGCUGUGCUUGCUGGCAUGUACAGUACAGGGUCAAAUGUUUGUGGACGUGUGACCAUCACACCCAUGCGUGGGACGUCUCCAGACUGUUGCAUACGAUCCUACAGGAUGUCUCUGUAUGCUUGAUUUGCCUGAAAUUGGUAUUAAUAAAAUGGGUUUCAUGCUUUAACCCUUAUAUAGAUAAAAAAUUGCUAUGCAGCCCAGGUUGAUUGCUAGCUUGGAUCAAGAGGGCAAACUCUGAAGUGUGGACCCAAUAUGGAGCGGUGACUAAAGUUCUUUCAUUCAUUCCUUCCUUCAUCCUCGGUAUGCACUUUAUCCUGGACAAGGUCCUGGUGGAUUCAUGCUGAAUAGGAUAUCAGUUCAUCCCAGUGCACCAUGCGCGCACACAAACAUUUAUUCACUCAUUUUAACCUUUUGACAAUUCGGCAUCACCUCACCUAAUCAAUACAUGUUUAAACAUCAUAGCACACUCUUCUUUGGAAUUUUUUUGUAUCUUAUUUUUAUUUUAUUGUGGCGGGUAUUUCAGAGCCCAGUUCCAUAUAUCUUGUAAUAUUCCAUUUUAGUGAUCUAGUUUAUUUCUGUUUUGCUCCCUACAGGAGAAAGCCUGGUAAGUAAUGGUGAGAAGUGUGCUUUUCAACUUUCCCUCCUCUAACGCACAGUGGUGUGGCUGAUCUGUCUGUGUGUGUGUUUUUUCCCCUCCUUCCUUUCAUCCUGUUUGUGAACUGUAACUUGUUGUGGAAUAAUUAUAGACUCAAAGACAAACCCUAUUCACUGCUAAUGUUAGCUGAAUGACUUGGGAAUAGACGACCAGAAGGGAUCAGAAGCCUUGAACAUGAUGGACUGAUGUGCUGUGAGACACUGGUUAAUAUAUUAAUAGCAGACGGUGACCAUGUUUGAAUAGUUCUUGGAAUCGAAACGAAUGAAAAGUGAUGCAUCAGUUUUACUCUAUUAAAAGCAAUAUGCAUAAGUGAUUUAUUUAUUUAUUUAUUACUCAUGUCUUGUAAAGCCCCCUCCUGUCAGUGCAGCGUUUAAUUGCGGGGAUAUUACAGCAUACAGAGAUUAUGGUCCAGGAUGCUCCCUGUAGAUGGAUUAAGUGUACGAGCGGAGCUGGAGCCGAUUUCUACAGAGUCGGAAAUGAAAACAUUUCCCUCCUGCCAUUUCUAAUAUCCACCUAGGGGAAAAGAUAAUGUAAAGACAAAAUUAUAAACUAUUCAUAACAUCUGGUCUCUUGUUCAUUGAAAAUUUACUGUCCCUGUUUAGUCUUUAUGACUGGCAGUUGUGUAAUGUUUGGUAAUUGGAGAUGUUUGAAGCAUGGUUUGCACAUAAAGCACUCGAAUUAUUAGUACAACCACAAUAACAUUUAAAUAUACACUCGCUAAGCACUUUGUUAAGAAAGCUAUACUAAUACUGGGUAGGGCCAUGCUUCGCUCUUAACCAGCCUGGAUUAUUGACACAAAGCAGGUUGGGGUAAUGAAUUCACGCUGCUGGUGACCGAUUCCAAACCUACCAUCUGUGUGCCUCAGCAGAAACAGAUUCAUCAGACCAGGCUGUGUUUUUUCCAGUCUUGGUGAGCCCCCUGCCCACUGCAGCCCAAGCUUUCUGUUCUUGGCUUACAGAAGUGGACACCAACAUGGUCUUCUGCGGUUAUAGCCCAUCCACCUCAAGGUUCAACAUUGCUGUGCAUUCUGUGGUGCUUUUCUGCUCACCACAGUUGUACAGCGUGUCUACCUGAGUUACUGUAGCCUUGAACCAGUCUGUUGGCCUCUCUCAUCAACACUGCUUUACUAUUCACAGAACUAGUUGUAAUGUAAACUCUAGAGACUGUUGUGUGUGAAAAUCAGCAGUUUCUGAAAUGUUCAAACCGGCACUAACACUCACGCAGCGGUCGAAAUCACAGAGGUCGCAUUUCCCCCACAUUCGUAUGGAUGACGUGAACAUUACCCGACACUGCUGGCCCAUGUCUGCAUGAUUUUAUUCAUUGUGCUGCUGCCACACAAUUGGCUGAUUGCAUGAAUAUGUAGCUGUGCAGUUCCUAAUAAAGUGCUCAGUGAGUGUAUAAUAUAAUGAUGUAAAUAAAUAGUAGUCUUUCAGGCAAGGUGGCAUGAUGGUGUGUUAACUUUACACCCUAGGGUCAACUAAACCUGGUGUAAUGCAUGUUCAUUUGCAGUGAUUUGAAGAUACGCAUUUGGAAAUGCCUUCUUGAGUCUUUUGGAUCUGGAACAAGGGGCAAAUACAUGCCGGAAGGAAUAAAACAUGACUGGGAAUGCUGUUGCAGGGAAAUAAUCAACGCUGGGGAGAGUCUUAAGGAAGGCUUAACAGCUGAGCAAAGACUCCACUUGUUCGACAACAAGGACACGAAGGAGUUCUGAAACUUGACGCCUCAGCCUGGCUUUGCUGCAUGUUAUAGAGGUCCACCAUAUUUUAUCCCAGUAAUUAAUCACUUAGAAACACACUGGUCACGGCACACAGCAUAUUAUUAUAAACAUGGUAUGAAGUUUGAAUUUUAUGUCUCUAGUCUGCAUUUUGUGCACUUCAGUUACUGUGACUUUUUUUUUUAAACAUGUCUUAAUGUAAAUAGUUGUUUUUAAUGAAGCAUCUAUCAUUCAUACACUAAACAUGACCGUGUCAGCUACUGUUUUAACUCUAGUAUGUGUGAAUAGCCAAAGGAUGGAUAAAUAUGUAAUGCCUCGAAUUACACUUACUUAAUAAAGAGUAGAAACAAUCAUACCUGCAGACGUGCUUAUUAUGGUAGAUGUGGUUAUGCACAUUCUCUCCAGCUUCCUGUCGAUUCUGAUGAAAUCGGAUGGCUGGCAAAGUGAAAAAGAAACACUACUUGAUCCCUGGAAGUAUUGGUGUGUGUGUGUGUACAUGGAGAUUACUGAAUGUUGCUGAAUGUUGACCAGUUCAAGGCAUGGUGUUUGUAUCUUGAGGGCUGUUUUUCCUAGUGUAAAAUGUAUAAACAGAUUUAUAUAGGGGGUUUCUUUAUGUAAUCAUGGUCAAUCCACUGAUUGGGAGUUGUUUUUGUUUUGUUUCGUUUCCCUUCUCCAUUUCCUGUCUUGCCCUUCAAGCUGGUAAUGUCUGUAGUGAUGUCCAGUCACAGUCUCUUGUAUUUAUUUAAAUGUCAUGUUUGUUUUUUGCUCACAUUUUUCAUUCCUCUAUACGUUGCUAUUGUAAAUAUACCACAAAUGUACACCGACUGACAGCAGGUUUAUUAGCAAUAAAUAUUUUUGCACCCUG
RNA transcript from Hemibagrus wyckioides, 9870 nucleotides. It is a transcript of the gene named myosin phosphatase Rho interacting protein, with no coding region annotated. The transcript is spliced from 24 exons. The record is from RefSeq and is a predicted model, not a curated record. Lineage: Eukaryota; Metazoa; Chordata; Actinopteri; Siluriformes; Bagridae.